GAACGAUGAUCCCAGCUUGCUGGGGGAUUAGUGGCGAACGGGUGAGUAACACGUGAGUAACCUGCCCUUAACUCUGGGAUAAGCCUGGGAAACUGGGUCUAAUACCGGAUAUGACUCCUCAUCGCAUGGUGGGGGGUGGAAAGCUUUAUUGUGGUUUUGGAUGGACUCGCGGCCUAUCAGCUUGUUGGUGAGGUAAUGGCUCACCAAGGCGACGACGGGUAGCCGGCCUGAGAGGGUGACCGGCCACACUGGGACUGAGACACGGCCCAGACUCCUACGGGAGGCAGCAGUGGGGAAUAUUGCACAAUGGGCGAAAGCCUGAUGCAGCGACGCCGCGUGAGGGAUGACGGCCUUCGGGUUGUAAACCUCUUUCAGUAGGGAAGAAGCGAAAGUGACGGUACCUGCAGAAGAAGCGCCGGCUAACUACGUGCCAGCAGCCGCGGUAAUACGUAGGGCGCAAGCGUUAUCCGGAAUUAUUGGGCGUAAAGAGCUCGUAGGCGGUUUGUCGCGUCUGCCGUGAAAGUCCGGGGCUCAACUCCGGAUCUGCGGUGGGUACGGGCAGACUAGAGUGAUGUAGGGGAGACUGGAAUUCCUGGUGUAGCGGUGAAAUGCGCAGAUAUCAGGAGGAACACCGAUGGCGAAGGCAGGUCUCUGGGCAUUAACUGACGCUGAGGAGCGAAAGCAUGGGGAGCGAACAGGAUUAGAUACCCUGGUAGUCCAUGCCGUAAACGUUGGGCACUAGGUGUGGGGGACAUUCCACGUUUUCCGUACCGUAGCUAACGCAUUAAGUGCCCCGCCUGGGGAGUACGGCCGCAAGGCUAAAACUCAAAGGAAUUGACGGGGGCCCGCACAAGCGGCGGAGCAUGCGGAUUAAUUCGAUGCAACGCGAAGAACCUUACCAAGGCUUGACAUGAACCGGAAACACCUGGAAACAGGUGCCCCGCUUGCGGUCGGUUUACAGGUGGUGCAUGGUUGUCGUCAGCUCGUGUCGUGAGAUGUUGGGUUAAGUCCCGCAACGAGCGCAACCCUCGUUCUAUGUUGCCAGCGCGUGAUGGCGGGGACUCAUAGGAGACUGCCGGGGUCAACUCGGAGGAAGGUGGGGACGACGUCAAAUCAUCAUGCCCCUUAUGUCUUGGGCUUCACGCAUGCUACAAUGGCCGGUACAAAGGGUUGCGAUACUGUGAGGUGGAGCUAAUCCCAAAAAGCCGGUCUCAGUUCGGAUUGGGGUCUGCAACUCGACCCCAUGAAGUCGGAGUCGCUAGUAAUCGCA
This 1270-nucleotide ribosomal RNA is filed under the name uncultured Actinomycetes bacterium. Its description in RNAcentral is "bacterial SSU rRNA". It matches the Rfam family "Bacterial small subunit ribosomal RNA", at positions 64 to 1346 of the family's 1533-position model. Lineage: Bacteria; Bacillati; Actinomycetota; Actinomycetes. The record is from RNAcentral.